RNAcentral lists this RNase P RNA (389 nucleotides) under Campylobacterales bacterium. RNAcentral describes it as "RNase P RNA component class A". It matches the Rfam family "Bacterial RNase P class A". From Rfam's summary of the family: Ribonuclease P (RNase P) is a ubiquitous endoribonuclease, found in archaea, bacteria and eukarya as well as chloroplasts and mitochondria. The record is from RNAcentral. Lineage: Bacteria; Pseudomonadati; Campylobacterota; Epsilonproteobacteria; Campylobacterales.
UAGGUACAACAGGUAGUUGCUGGUGACUUAGGUCACGAGAGGAAAGUCCGUGCUACAAGUGAGAUAGGACUCCAUCUAACAGAUGGCCAGAGUAAUCUGAGGGCAAGUGCAACAGAGAGCAGACGACCACCUAACUUAAAGAGUUUCCCCCUCUUUUUCUCCCCUAUUUCUUAAUAGGUGGUCAAAGGUGAAACGGUGGUGUAAGAGACCACCAGUACUUAUGGUAACAUGAGUAGCUAGGUAAACCCUGUCCGUAGCAAGAGGCACAUGGUAAAAAUCUCACAAAGCCAUUUAGUUGGCAUUGGUGUCUCGCUUGAGCGUAUGGGCAACCAUACGCCUAGAUAAAUAACUACCCAAGACAGAACACGGCUUAUCGUUGUGCCUAUACU